Non-coding RNA from Aneurinibacillus migulanus, 68 nucleotides. The record is from Rfam. Lineage: Bacteria; Bacillati; Bacillota; Bacilli; Caryophanales; Paenibacillaceae.
CCGGGAGGAAGUUCUGCUAUAAGCGCUCACGUCCUGUGAGCAACGCAGAACCUAGCGCAUCGUGCGCG